RNAcentral lists this non-coding RNA (27 nucleotides) under Cricetulus griseus (Chinese hamster). Lineage: Eukaryota; Metazoa; Chordata; Mammalia; Rodentia; Cricetidae. The record is from RNAcentral.
UCUGAGGCUGACCUAGGUGAGGAUGGA